AGCCAUCGGAAACGGUGGGGCAGGCCGGUGGGGAGAAUCUGGGAAGCCGGUGAGACUCCGGCACAGGCCCGCUGCGGUGAACCGAGCCCGCUCACGACGAGCAGGGACCCGGCAAGUCCGAAGACCGGCCUCGCGCCCGAGCACUUG
This 147-nucleotide non-coding RNA is filed under the name Streptomyces sp. The record is from RNAcentral. Lineage: Bacteria; Bacillati; Actinomycetota; Actinomycetes; Kitasatosporales; Streptomycetaceae.